This 569-nucleotide ribosomal RNA is filed under the name uncultured bacterium. RNAcentral's name for it is "bacterial SSU rRNA". It matches the Rfam family "Bacterial small subunit ribosomal RNA", at positions 877 to 1441 of the family's 1533-position model. The record is from RNAcentral.
GGAGUAUGGCCGCAAGGCUGAAACUCAAAGGAAUUGACGGGGGCUCACACAAGCGGUGGAGCAUGUGGCUUAAUUCGAGGCUACGCGAAGAACCUUAUCCCGGGCUUGACAUGCACGGAUUAGCCGGCGGAAACGUCGGCGACGCCUUCGGGUGGAACGUGCACAGGUGCUGCAUGGCUGUCGUCAGCUCGUGCCGUGAGGUGUUGGGUUAAGUCCCGUAACGAGCGAAACCCCUGCGACCAGUUGCCAUCAUUCAGUUGGGGACUCUGGUCGGACCGCCGGCGUUAAGCCGGAGGAAGGCGGGGACGACGUCAAGUCAUCAUGGCUCUUAUGCCCGGGGCUGCACACGUGCUACAAUGGGCCGGACAGAGCGUCGCCACUGCGUAAGCAGGAGCCAAUCGCAGAAACCGGUCCUCAGUUCGGAUUGUGGGCUGCAACCCGCCCACAUGAAGCUGGAAUCGCUAGUAAUCGCGGAUCAGCAGUGCCGCGGUGAAUGGGUUCCUGAGCCUUGUACACACCGCCCGUCAAGCCACCAAAGCGGGGGGCACCCGAAGUCGCUGAGCUCGCAA